AGGGACUGACACAGAGGCCGGAGGAGAGCCGGGUACUGGUGCUGGCUGUGCUGCCCUCCGGGGAGGCCCUUGGACAAGCUGCUUUCUCCCUUGGGCCUGAGUUUCUCCACCUGCAUAUCGAUGGGCUUUUUAUUGAGCACUUGCUGUGUGCUGGGCACUGGGGCUGUAUGUGAACAGGACAGGCAGUCCUGGCCCCAGGAGCUGACAUUCUGGGGGGAGAAACAGUCGGAUAGCCAUAGGCACUGGGGAUUCUGUAGUGAACAAAGUCCUUGCCUUUUCGGAGCUUUCAUUCUAGUCAGGGAGACAGACAGACAGACAAAUAUAAAGACAGCUGUUGCAGAGGUGGAAACGACCAUGAGGAAGCAUGGCCAGACGGACCUAGUGGGGAAAGAGAUAAGAAGGGGUCAGACUUGAGGUAACAUAUUAAAGGUAGAUAUCACAGGAUCAGCUGUUUUAGAGAGAGUUCUAGAGCGUAAGGAGUCGAGGGUGAUUGGAGUUUUUGAAAUAAUGGUGCCAUGACAGUUACAAAACGAAGUCCACGUGUGAGGCCAGUACUACCUAAGAGGCUCAGACUGGUCAAACAGCAUUUCAUUGGGGCCUGAGCACAUCUGGGAGUCAGGGAGUCAGCCUCCCUCGGGGUGACCUAGAGGCCUGAAGACUAUACAGGUUAACUAAGGGGGAGCAGGGGCGAGUGGUCCUGAUGGAGCAGCAAAUGCCCAGAUUGAACAGUUUUCUUCGAGCUGAAGGAAAGUUGGUGUGUCUGGAGUUGAGAAAUGGGGAGAGGGGACUGAACUUGAUCCUGAGUGCAGCCAGAGAGGCUGUUAGGGAAUGACAUGCCCCUUAGGGCCCCCAAAGCACGCUCUGGCUGCUCUGUGAAGAAAGUUCCGGAGGAGGAGCAGAGUCAAAAAGAAGACGUGGUUUGGUUAACGCUCCAGUUCCGAGGAUAGGCCAGGUCUGAGGACACUUCCUCAGGGAAGCCCUCCCUUACUGCUCCGGAUUGAGUCAAGUUCCCCCAGCCCCUGUUGAAACGUCUCCUCCACUGAGGCCAGAGACUGUCCACUGCCACAUCCCCAAGGCCUGGAUUAGUAAGCCCCUGGCACACAGUAGG
Molecule: long non-coding RNA, 1108 nt
Organism: Myotis lucifugus (little brown bat)
Lineage: Eukaryota; Metazoa; Chordata; Mammalia; Chiroptera; Vespertilionidae
Exons: 3
Source: RefSeq, a predicted model, not a curated record